ACUAAAGCAAAGACUGGGAAGAGUACGAUGCCAUCCUGCUUCAAGAGAGGGAAAUCAUUAGCUGAAAGAUUUCCUAAGAGGAACAUCAGAAUGUCGCCCAUGAGCUUCUUCCGCGAAAAGGCCAAGAGCCCCAGUAGUCGAGGACGGAUCAAAUCCGUUAUCUUAUUUAAGAGCCAAUCCUGUUUUGGGAUUGGAAAAAAGGUGGUACCGCGAAGCAAACUCCAUUCGUCCUUUUA
This 236-nucleotide non-coding RNA is filed under the name Neobacillus bataviensis. Its description in RNAcentral is "Bacillus bataviensis T-box sequence". It matches the Rfam family "T-box leader". Rfam says of the family: Uncharged tRNA acts as the effector for transcription antitermination of genes in the T-box leader family. T-boxes are found upstream of many aminoacyl-tRNA synthetase genes and some amino acid biosynthetic genes usually in Gram-positive bacteria. The record is from RNAcentral. Lineage: Bacteria; Bacillati; Bacillota; Bacilli; Caryophanales; Bacillaceae.